GUCUGGGAAACUGCCUGAUGGAGGGGGAUAACUACUGGAAACGGUAGCUAAUACCGCAUAAUGUCGCAAGACCAAAGUGGGGGACCUUCGGGCCUCAUGCCAUCAGAUGUGCCCCAGAUGGGAUUAGCUAGUAGGUGGGGUAAUGGCUCACCUAGGCGACGAUCCCUAGCUGGUCUGAGAGGAUGACCAGCCACACUGGAACUGAGACACGGUCCAG
RNAcentral lists this ribosomal RNA (217 nucleotides) under uncultured bacterium. RNAcentral's name for it is "partial 16S ribosomal RNA". It matches the Rfam family "Bacterial small subunit ribosomal RNA", at positions 115 to 334 of the family's 1533-position model. The record is from RNAcentral.